RNAcentral lists this ribosomal RNA (440 nucleotides) under uncultured bacterium. RNAcentral's name for it is "partial 16S ribosomal RNA". It matches the Rfam family "Bacterial small subunit ribosomal RNA", at positions 339 to 795 of the family's 1533-position model. The record is from RNAcentral.
CUACGGGUCGCACCAGUGAGGAAUAUUGCACAAUGGAGGAAACUCUGAUGCAGCAACGCCGCGUGGAGGAUGACGCAUUUCGGUGUGUAAACUCCUUUUAUGAGUCAAGAAAAUGACGGUAGCUCAUGAAUAAGCACCGGCUACACUCCGUGCCAGCAGCCGCGGUAAUACGGAGGGUGCAAGCGUUACUCGGAAUCACUGGGCGUAAAGGACGCGUAGGCGGGAUAUCAAGUCAGGUGUGAAAUCCUACAGCUUAACUGUAGAACUGCACUUGAAACUGGUAACCUAGAGUAUGGGAGGGGGAGAUGGAAUUAGUGGUGUAGGGGUAAAAUCCGUAGAUAUCACUAGGAAUACCUAAAGCGAAGGCGAUCUCCUGGAACAUAACUGACGCUAAGGCGUGAAAGCGUGGGGAGCAAACAGGAUUAGAUACCCCCGUAGUC